Molecule: ribosomal RNA, 387 nt
Filed under: uncultured bacterium
Lineage: Bacteria
Description: bacterial SSU rRNA
Rfam family: Bacterial small subunit ribosomal RNA
Source: RNAcentral
GACGAACGCUGGCGGCGUGCUUAACACAUGCAAGUCGAGCGGUAAGGCCCUUUCGGGGGUACACGAGCGGCGAACGGGUGAGUAACACGUGGGUGACCUGCCCUCAGCUCUGGGAUAAGCCUGGGAAACUGGGUCUAAUACUGGACAUGACUCCACGGUGCAUGUCGUGGGGUGGAAAGCCUUGUGCGGCUGAGGAUGGGCCCGCGGCCUAUCAGCUUGUUGGUGGGGUGAGGCCUACCAAGGCGACGACGGGUAGCCGGCCUGAGAGGGCGACCGGCCACACUGGGACUGAGACACGGCCCAGACUCCUACGGGAGGCAGCAGUGGGGAAUCUUGCGCAAUGGGCGAAAGCCUGACGCAGCGACGCCGCGUGAGGGAUGACGGCCU